CGGUGUGAUUCAUGACUGGGGUGAAGUCGUAACAAGGUAACCCUAGGGGAACCUGGGGUUGGAUCACCUCCUUA
RNAcentral lists this ribosomal RNA (74 nucleotides) under Aeromonas caviae. RNAcentral describes it as "partial 16S ribosomal RNA". It matches the Rfam family "Bacterial small subunit ribosomal RNA", at positions 1460 to 1533 of the family's 1533-position model. The record is from RNAcentral. Lineage: Bacteria; Pseudomonadati; Pseudomonadota; Gammaproteobacteria; Aeromonadales; Aeromonadaceae. RNAcentral also lists the same sequence under 2 other names.